Molecule: long non-coding RNA, 197 nt
Filed under: Astyanax mexicanus (Mexican tetra)
Lineage: Eukaryota; Metazoa; Chordata; Actinopteri; Characiformes; Acestrorhamphidae
Description: lncRNA (ENSAMXG00005011449.1)
Source: RNAcentral
AUGAACUCACACAGGGGGUCAUUAGAAAAGUGCCUUCAGUGGCUAAAAACCUGCUUCAGGGUCAGUGAUGAAGUCCCGCAGAUCUGCUCUGUGGAUCCUGAUUUUAAUGAUCAUCACUACACUCAUUACUGGUAAGAGUUCAGUAUGGCUUAUUUAUGAUCUUCUUCCACAUGUGAUCGUCUGCUGCUGAACCCUGU